This 72-nucleotide transfer RNA is filed under the name Microbacterium invictum. RNAcentral describes it as "tRNA-Met". Lineage: Bacteria; Bacillati; Actinomycetota; Actinomycetes; Micrococcales; Microbacteriaceae. The record is from RNAcentral.
CGCGGCGAUCCGGUUGGUCCGGGCUCCGGUUCAUACCCGGGAGUGCUGUGGGUUCGACUCCCACCGUCGCGU